RNAcentral lists this ribosomal RNA (459 nucleotides) under uncultured bacterium. RNAcentral describes it as "partial 16S ribosomal RNA". It matches the Rfam family "Bacterial small subunit ribosomal RNA", at positions 338 to 795 of the family's 1533-position model. The record is from RNAcentral.
CCUACGGGUGGCAGCAGUGAGGAAUAUUGGUCAAUGGGCGAGAUCCUGAACCAGCCAAGCCGCGUGAGGGAAGAAGGUACAGUGGAUUGUAAACCUCUUUUGUCAGGGAACAAAGCCGGGGACGAGUCCCGGGCUGAGUGUAUCUGAAGAAAAAGCAUCGGCUAACUCCGUGCCAGCAGCCGCGGUAAUACGGAGGAUGCGAGCGUUAUCCGGAUUUAUUGGGUUUAAAGGGUGCGCAGGCGGCCCGUUAAGUCAGCGGUAAAAGUGCGGGGCUCAACCCCGUCGAGCCGUUGAAACUGGCAGGCUGGAGUUGGAGAGAAGUACGCGGAAUGCGCGGUGUAGCGGUGAAAUGCUUAGAUAUCGCGCAGAACCCCGAUUGCGAAGGCAGCGUACCGGCUCCAGACUGACGCUGAGGCACGAAAGCGUGGGUAUCGAACAGGAUUAGAUACCCCAGUAGUC